AUGAACAUAAAUGCUGUUUUACUUUGCCCCAGAACUUACGUAGAUCAUCCACGCGGCAUAACGCUCUUUGAGGUUAUACAGCACAGAGGGUUCAUUGAGAUGGGUCAUCAUGGCCAUGUCCUCAAUCUUGUCAAACUUGGGAGGAUUCAUUGGGAAGACUUCAUCCUCUUUAACAACUUUCUCCUCCUUAGUGUCAUUCACAAUAACAGUGACUUUGGCACCGUCUUUGCUCUUGAUGGUUCCCUUGACGUACAGCUCUUUAGGCUCAACCACAUAGCAGGCAGUCUUGGCAUCGAAUGGUUUGUUCUGAGCCUCGAUUCUCUCCUUCUCAGGCUUACGAAGGAAAAUGGCAGCCUUGCCAUAAACGGCCAUCUCCGCGUCCGUACUCAUGGUGGCGGCUCACUGGUAAUUGGAAAGGGAAAUUGCAGAGUUUUUAAUAAAUAAAAUUAUAUAGCACCAAACACAAGAUUCAAAUAUAUGUUACACUGCUGAUUCUCCAAAACUCCUGCAUCUUGCCAGCAAAUGUCAAACAAACUGCUUCACAGUACUAGUCUUAUAGCAAUGACAAUUGAAAUGCUGACAUGAGAUGUCAGCCCCUCUACUAUUUCAUACCCCCAUAUAACUGUAUAAAUCUAUUAACACAGACAAACACAUUCAUAAAUCAUUUUAAAUGCUGUUUUUUCCUAUGAAGUUUUGAUUUUAAAUGACAUAAAAAUUUUAACCAAGAUAUCAAAAAGCAAGACUCAUCUGGCAUAUAAUAAUGGGCUACAUACACACAGAUGAAAACAAUCUGAUCAACACAAACAAUGUAAGGGAAAUCCACAUACCUUCCCUUUCCUUGUGACCAGAUAAAAUUUAUUCACCCCUGCAAGACAAUUUACGUUUAAAACUGUAUAAGUGAUACAUUUUAUAAACAGCAGAAAUUUAAAUUGAUGCUGCUUUAUUACAAACUAAAGAGCAACAGAUGUUUUGCUUCCACUUCAGGUUUGAAAUGAAAUUAAUAACAAUUCCAGUGUGUGCUAAUAUAAACUGCAAAGCAACUUACCACCAACUGGAGCUCCUGUCUUAUCAUGCUCUCCCCUACGCUUAUAUUGAGUUGAACUUGUACACUAAGCAGACACUAAAUAUAGACAGGCAUUACAGUUUUAAUUACUGUAUAUAGAAGCUGUCCAUCCACAGUAAGGAAAGCAUAUAACGGCCUAGCUAGAAAUCAGUUCCAAAAUAAAUAAAGUUGUCAUUAAACUAAUGCCUAAAUAUGAGCAGAACAUUAUUAUUAUCAAUUAAUUAUUAUUAUUAUUAUUGAU
This is a long non-coding RNA of Cyprinus carpio carpio, 1304 nucleotides long. The record is from Ensembl. NCBI's taxonomy places the organism in Eukaryota, Metazoa, Chordata, Actinopteri, Cypriniformes, Cyprinidae.